RNAcentral lists this long non-coding RNA (3446 nucleotides) under Panax ginseng (ginseng). RNAcentral describes it as "long non-coding RNA (PGIN_LNC011871)". The record is from RNAcentral. Lineage: Eukaryota; Viridiplantae; Streptophyta; Magnoliopsida; Apiales; Araliaceae.
AGAUUUGAACAUCACUAGAAAUAUGAUUGAUUCACUGUUUGUUAUUAAUACAUUUAGGAGUCGCCAUUAAAAGAUUUGUUAAAAAUGAAAUUCUUUCCUUCCUCGGGGGUAACAAAAGUGAAGUUACCAGGGUGAUUUUUGUUUUUAUUAUUACUAUUACAUUACAUAUUACAAGAACAGUCAGUCAAGAAUACAGCAGGAGGAGGAACUGUCCCCGAUUCAAUCAAGUCCUCCUAUUUGUCUACCACCAUCGUACUAUUAUUUAACAGGGAAGAAAGGAAGGGAAGGAAUCCAAUCCACAGCAAGACCAUAUUACAAAACCAAUUACCAAAACUUAUACGAGUAAACUAGGAGUCUGCCCCCUUUUUACUACUAAUUUUUACAUGCACCAUAUAUACUACUAAUAUAUAUAUCACUAUAUAUAUAUAUAUAUAUAUAUAUAUAUCUCCUUUCAAUAAAUACAUCUAUCUUAUUGCCACAUGUUACAAAGAAUAUCACAACCAUAACACUUGGACCGCCAACCAAACAACCAACCUAAUUUACCGGUCAUAACCCAUGGCUACUACAGGGAUCCUGACCCUGUGCCCCCUGCUUCCUUUCAUCAACACCUCUCCAAAACUGUAGGCUCCAGUCACUGAUCUAACAGUGAGGGUUACCCAGAAUUUCUUUGAUUGACCAGCUCUAACAGUCAUAGCUGGAGGAUUAGUAUCAAUGGCCACAGCUGGUUCCAUUCUUGCCGUGAUCACAUAAGUUUCUUCCGCCCCAACAUUUGUCACCGUACGCGUGACAAUACGAGUUCCCACAAGACGGGAUAUUGCGAUGGAUGGGGAAUUUAGAUUUGACGGAUGGCCGAGAGUGUAGUUGCACGGUGAGUUUGUGUAGUUCCGUAUCUCGUGAGCGUCAAUUCCAGAUGUAGUGCACAAGAACCCCAGGUAGUCUUGAUAACCUACAAGCAAGAACAUUAACUCAGUAUUAGGUCUACACCCAAACUUGAUAGGUUUACAAGUAUAAUCAACAAUUUUAAUUGAUGUAAAUAAUAUUUGCAUAUGCCGGACUCCAAAAGAUAAGAGGGCAGAAUUUUUUCCCUUGGGAAAGCAAAAAAUACAAAUUCGCAUGGGUAGGCCCAUACAAUGUGUAGACAUAAAUUAGAACCACAAAAUAAAAUUAUCAAUUUUUAAUAUAGUUGGGAGAUAAAUCUGUAGCAAUCAUGUAAAGUUGCAUUGUUCCACAACCAAUAUUGGCUUCUUAUCCCAAAUUCCCACCCAUAUAAUUAGAUCAAAGGAUGACAAAAGAACAGCAAGCAAGACAAAGUUUAUGAGCUCGGGAAGUAAAUGCUUUCGCUUGGUUCACUUUAGUCAACAGUCAAUUUUCCAUCAAAUUCCCAACUCAGUUAAUUUCACUUUAGCAAGAACUAGAAAGCAUCUAUCUGAUCAUAAUAGAAAGGAAAAAAGAAAAGAUAGAAAAAAUAAGGAAAAGAAAAUUACCUGCAUCAAAUACGACUCCGGGAUCUAGAGCAGCUCUAGGAUUUACAUGGCCACUCCCAUAAUCAAAAGGUGUAGCUGGGACCAGUGUCAUGGUUUCAGAUCCAGAAUAUUGUUGGGCUUGAAGAGGCCUCUCCGCUCUGUCAAGCUUAGUCGAUGUCGUCAUCAAGGCUGAUUUGAUGGCAGCAGGACUCCAGUGAGGGUGCUUCUGCUUUACGAGAGCAGAAAUCCCUGCUAUAUGUGGCGCAGCCAUGCUAGUUCCAGAUAUCAUAGCAAAGCCUUCGCCUGCUCCAAGCAAAAAGGUCUUUUGAGUUGGCUCAUAUCAUAUCGUUUUUAAUUUUCUUCAUCGCCUGGUUCAUGAUAUGCUAUACUUUCUUAUCCUAUGAUGGUAAUCUGCUUCAUACAUAUUCAUUCCCAAAUAUGUAAGCACUAUAGUUUUCUUUCUAAUUCUUUCUUUCCCCCCAAACAAGGUUUUGAUAUUUUCAAUUGGCAACCAAGGAAAGGAGGAGAUAAGAAUUAAGAAAGAUACAGGUACUCCCUCUGUUCUAAAUUGCAUGUCCCAUUUGGCUACUUAAUGUUUCCCAAUAGCUUGGACAAAGUUAUUCUUAUGAAUUUUUUUACUAUUAAAUUUUAAGACUAAAAUUUGUGCUGGGAAAAGAUUAUCAAACAAAAUGUUAUCGAGUAUGCUAACAAACCUUGGUAUUUCAGAAUAAAUAAAUAAAUGGGACUGUCAUUUUGAGAUGGAGCUAGUAUUUAAUGCAUUAUUCUCUCGUCUAAUCAACAGAUGAGUUAUUGAUUUUGGACAAGUACCAUAAACCUACUAUUUCUUCAGAGAGCAAAAAAAGUUUAGGUGGAAUUACAUAACCUGAAAUCUUUGUUAUAUGCCAUUUCCUUCGAGUGAAAGUAAUAUAUCUACAUAUUAAUUCAGCCUUUUCAGUCCAGAAGCUAAAGAAGUUACUAAGGGGGAUUUUCUACUUUUUAGGAUUAAGCUUAUAAUAUUUAAAGGAUAGCAAGUUAAGUUUACUAGUAAUAAUAAUUACUUACCAACAUAAUUAGCCUCAUCUGUCCCAUUAGGUGACCAGGCAGCCCAAAUUAAAGAACCAGGAGCUAGAAUAUCUGGUUUGAGAAGAUCCGCAUCUUGAAAGCUAUAAUCUUUUAUAUUGGGUCCUCGAGCAGAGAACAAUGCUACUUGCGGUGCAGAUUUGUGAAGUAUAGGCCUUAAACCAUCUCCUAUGCUUCCUAUUGCUUUGAAACUCUUCACUCGUCCAGUCCAAUCCCUUGACGUAGAGAUAUUGUAGUAGUCUAUGAGCUCCUACGAAUUCCCAUGGAACCAAUGUUAGAAAAUAAGGUUCAGGAACAUGUGGAAGAGAACCAAUGAAAAGAAUGGAAAACAUAUGAGUUACAGAUAAUCAAUCAGAUGCAACAGAAUGGGUCACAGAGUAAUCUAGUUUUGUCUUGUGUGGCAAUUAUCAGGCAAGACAAGCAGGCAUGCAACCAAGACAUUUCAAAACUGAGCAGGAAAGUGAAAAUACUUCCUUUAUUUAUUUUGGUAGUCAUAUCAUAAUCCAAUCCAUCUUUGACACUGUUCAUGAAAUUACGUCAUAAUUGGCUCACAAAACCACCGAGUAUUCAUGACACAGACAAGAAACAUUAUGAUUUUAAAUAAAUCGAUAUUGACCCAUUACAACACAGAGUUGCCUGCACAGCAAUACUGAGCCCAUGGUAUCACCCAAUACAACAAAAAAAUUGCCUGAAGAUCAAUACUGAACUUGUAUCAAACUUCAGGAACCACAACUUGAGUACUAUGCCCCUCACUCUAGACAGUUUUCAACACAUACGGAGAAAAAGGAUUGUGAUAUUUACCAUUGACUUACUAACAUCUGUGAUCAGGAUUCCCGGAAGACCAACAGGAACAGGAUCAAAUUUAGUUCCUGGGGAAACAUUUUCUACAGCAAGAACAAAGCC